This 27-nucleotide non-coding RNA is filed under the name Mus musculus (house mouse). Lineage: Eukaryota; Metazoa; Chordata; Mammalia; Rodentia; Muridae. The record is from RNAcentral.
AUGGUGAUCCAAGUGAGCAAAGAGAAC